RNAcentral lists this ribosomal RNA (428 nucleotides) under uncultured bacterium. RNAcentral's name for it is "bacterial SSU rRNA". It matches the Rfam family "Bacterial small subunit ribosomal RNA", at positions 30 to 507 of the family's 1533-position model. The record is from RNAcentral.
CGAACGCUGGCGGCAUGCCUAACACAUGCAAGUCGAACGAAGCCUUCGGGCUAGUGGCGCACGGGUGCGUAACGCGUGGGAACCUGCCCCUUGGUUCGGAAUACAGUUGAAAUGACUGCUAAUACCGGAUGAUGACGGAAGUCCAAAGAUUUAUCGCCGAGGGAUGGGCCCGCGUAGGAUUAGCUAGUUGGUGAGGUAAUGGCUCACCAAGGCGACGAUCCUUAGCUGGUCUGAGAGGAUGAUCAGCCACACUGGGACUGAGACACGGCCCAGACUCCUACGGGAGGCAGCAGUGGGGAAUAUUGGACAAUGGGCGAAAGCCUGAUCCAGCAAUGCCGCGUGAGUGAUGAAGGCCUUAGGGUUGUAAAGCUCUUUUACCAGGGAUGAUAAUGACAGUACCUGGAGAAUAAGCUCCGGCUAACUCCGUG